CACCGGUGUACAAGUACAAAUCUCCUCCCCCGCCGGUUUACAAGUACAAGUCACCACCGCCACCGGUGUACAAGUCGCCUCCUCCACCAACAAAGCCAUACAAGUACAAGUCUCCACCACCACCAGUCUAUAAGUCACCACCGCCACCGGUUUACAAGUAAAAACCCCCCCCGCCACCGGUGUACAAGUAUAAGUCACCGCCGCCUCCAGUCUACAAGUCUCCUCCGCCACCAGUUUACAAGUACAAAUCACCGCCGCCGCCAGUCUAUAAGUCACCACCGCCUCCAAUGAAGCCAUACAAGUACAAGUCACCACCACCGCCGCCGGUUUACAAGUCUCCUCCUCCGCCGGUGUACAAGUACAAAUCACCGCCGCCGCCAGUCUAUAAGUCACCACCGCCUCCAAUGAAGCCAUACAAGUACAAGUCACCACCACCGCCGCCAGUCUAUAAGUCUCCUCCACCACCGGUGUACAAGUACAAAUCACCACCGCCACCGGUUUACAAGUACAAGUCACCGCCGCCGCCGGUGCACAAACCACCUCCACAUUACAUCUCUGCGUCACCCCCUCCACCAUACCACGUCUAGAUGAGUCAACCCCCCAAGGUAAUACUACUAAUCAACAACUCAUAUCCAAUCACUGAAUAAGGGGCCGUUUGACAUAGAGAAAAUAUAUUUGUAUUUGUGGGAAAAUUAUUUAUUUUGAAAUUAACAUAUUUGCAUUAGUGACAAAUAUCACAAAUAUUUUUAGUUAUCAUUGGUUUAUCUUAUUCUGAAAAACAAUAACGUAAUUCUAAUUUCCUCAAAUAAAAAAUUUAGUUCUAUUAUUUAUGAAAUAUACAUAUCAAACAUUAUAGCCUAGCAAGUUUUUAUUAAUUAAUAAUACUGACCCCUCUCUCAACAACUCGAGCUAUUGGAGAUACGAUGAUCGAUUUUGGACAUGGUAUCAUAGAUUUAAAAAACCAAGAGGUCUCCUUUUCAAAUCCCGACAGUCUCCAUUCCGUACAUAUGACUUAUCGUGUGAACCUCAUUUCUUCUUAAAACUUCUGUCUGAAGGGCAUAUUAAUGAAUACUAUAUACAAAAUUGAUCUGAACCUUCCCCCAACAACUUACAAUGCAACGAUUCAUGACAAUUUUCUCGAUUUAGUACUCGAUACUCGGUACGAAACGGUGCCUUAAUUACUAACUUGUGUCUUGGUCCU
Molecule: long non-coding RNA, 1201 nt
Filed under: Linum usitatissimum (flax)
Lineage: Eukaryota; Viridiplantae; Streptophyta; Magnoliopsida; Malpighiales; Linaceae
Description: long non-coding RNA (LUSI_LNC002448)
Source: RNAcentral